This 478-nucleotide long non-coding RNA is filed under the name Cyanistes caeruleus (blue tit). RNAcentral describes it as "lncRNA (ENSCCEG00000000121.1)". Lineage: Eukaryota; Metazoa; Chordata; Aves; Passeriformes; Paridae. The record is from RNAcentral.
ACCUGCUCAUUAUCUGUGUUUCAUCUCUACGCUCUAGCUGACAGUUGGUUCUGGUAAAUGGCAACAAUGCUACAACUACCAAAUAAAAUGCUGGACAGACUGACAGAAGAUAUCUCUUCAUCUUAGAAGCUGACUCUUACAUGAAUCUGGCAACCACAGAUUUCAUAGAAAGAAGAUUAUGGUGAGCACAAGGAAAGCAAGUGCAUUCCUGUGUCCAGGAGACAAAUACGUGAUGCAGAAACUGGAUGGACCAAAAAGAGGAGGUGCAUCACUGAGUCUGCCAAUCACAAAGGAAAAAGAACUGACAAGAACAUGUUGGCUGCUAUUACUUCAUGAAUUAUUUAGACUGCAGUAAACAAGAAAUACAUCUAUAUGUCCAUUGAAGAGAAGCUGAAUGGAAAAAACAGGAUUAAGAAGUGAUGAUAAGUAGAUAAUCCUGAACUUCUUAUAAAUAAACAAGAUUCACUUUACUGCUUCA